This 467-nucleotide ribosomal RNA is filed under the name uncultured bacterium. Its description in RNAcentral is "partial 16S ribosomal RNA". It matches the Rfam family "Bacterial small subunit ribosomal RNA", at positions 28 to 506 of the family's 1533-position model. The record is from RNAcentral.
GACGAACGCUGGCGGCGUGCUUAACACAUGCAAGUCGAACGGAAAGACCCUGCUUUUGUGGGGUGCUCGAGUGGCGAACGGGUGAGUAACACGUGAGUAACCUGCCCUUGACUUUGGGAUAACUUCAGGAAACUGGGGCUAAUACCGGAUAGGAGCUCCUGCUGCAUGGUGGGGGUUGGAAAGUUUCGGCGGUUGGGGAUGGACUCGCGGCUUAUCAGCUUGUUGGUGGGGUAGUGGCUUACCAAGGCUUUGACGGGUAGCCGGCCUGAGAGGGUGACCGGCCAGAUUGGGACUAAGAGACGGCCCAGACUCAUACGGGAGGCAGCAGCGGGGAAUAUUGCACAAGGGCCUGAAGCCUGAUGCACCAGCGCCUCGUGCGGGAUGACUGCCUUCGGGUUGUAAACCGCUUUCGCCUGUAACGAAGCGUGAGUGACGGUAAUGGGUAAAGAAGCAGCUGCUAACUACGU